GCAUAUGGGCGCAGCCUGAUGCAGCCAUGCCGCGUGUAUGAGAAGGCCUUCGGGUUGUAAAGUACUUUCAGCGGGGAGGAAGGGAGUAAAGUUAAUACCUUUGCUCAUUGACGUUACCCGCAGAAGAAGCACCGGCUAACUCCAUGCCAGCAGCCGCGGUAAU
RNAcentral lists this ribosomal RNA (163 nucleotides) under uncultured Escherichia sp. RNAcentral's name for it is "partial 16S ribosomal RNA". It matches the Rfam family "Bacterial small subunit ribosomal RNA", at positions 366 to 524 of the family's 1533-position model. The record is from RNAcentral. Lineage: Bacteria; Pseudomonadati; Pseudomonadota; Gammaproteobacteria; Enterobacterales; Enterobacteriaceae.